GCUCAAAGUGAAAAUCGCGUGUCCGCUAAUGGGCCUCGCGAGUUGUAGCCUCUAGAGGCGUUACCAGUGGAAGGGCAGGUCUAAGUUUCUUGGAACAGAACUUCAGAGAGGGUGACAGUCCCGUCCUUUGUCCUGCUUUGUUGGUUCCACGUACGGUGCGCUGUUAUUGAGUCGCGUUCAUUGGGAUUUGAGCGCAAAAUGUGUGAUAAGUUUCACAUAAAGCUAAAUAUUGGCGCGAGACCGAUAGCGAACAAGUACUGUGAAGGAAAGAUGAAAAGGACUUUGGAAAGAGAGUUAAAAGUGUCUGAAAUUGCUGAAAGGGAAGCGAUUGAAACUUUUGUGUCUCGGGGGUGCCGCUGGGUUUCGGCAGUAUUUCCAUCUUUGAUUCCGUCUUCUAGGAUUGGGGAAGGUGUGUAUUGCUCGUGAGCCCUGUUGAUCCCCCGGGUUCGGUCAGCAUCAGCACACUCGUGACUGGAAAUGCACCCCAAGGAAGGUAGGUCCUUUGUGGGCUGUUAUAGACUUGGGUUACGUUAGUUGCGACCAGUUGUGUGCUGAGGUGUGUUCCAUUGGAGCGUUCGCCGGCUGCACUUUCGAGUACUGCCGUUCGACGAUGCUGUCCCUAACGGUUUCAACCGACCCGUCUUGAAACACGGACCAAGGAGUCUAACAUAUGUGCGAGUAUGCGGGAUGAACCCCUGUAUGCGCAAUGAAAGUGAGAGUAGGGAUGGGUGUGUAUUGUCGGAUACGUGCCUUGCACCUACGACCGACCACGAUCUUUGAGAGAGGUUUGAGUUGUAGCACAUCUGUUAGGACCCGAAAGAUGGUGAACUAUGCCUGAGUAGGGUGAAGUCAGGCGAAAGCCUGAUGGAAGCUCGUAGCGAUACUGACGUGCAAAUCGUUCGUCAAACUUGGGUAUAGGGGCGAAAGACUAAUCGAACCGUCUAGUAGCUGGUUUCUUCCGAAGUUUCUCUCAGGAUAGCUGGAGUUCAAUUAGUUUUAUCAGGUAAAGCGAAUGAUUAGAGGCCUCGGGGGCGCGUCGCUCUCGACCUAUUCUCAAACUUUAAAUGGGUAAGAUCCAGUGGUUACUUCACUGAACUGCUGGGGUUAAUAUGAACUCCAAGUGGGCCAUUUUUGGUAAGCAGAACUGGCGAUGAGGGAUGCUCCUAACGCUUGGUUAAGGUGCCUAAAUACUCGCUCAUGAGACACCAUAAAAGGUGUUGGUUCAUUUUGACAGCAGGACGGUGGUCAUGGAAGUCGAAAUCCGCUAAGAAGUGUGUAACAACUUACCUGCCGAAUGAACCAGCCCUGAAAAUGGAUGGCGCUGCAGCGGGUUACCGAUACCAGGCCAUUAUCGCAAGUGUCGGACACAGUACCUUUUGCGCG
This 1383-nucleotide ribosomal RNA is filed under the name Eimeria sp. RY-2016a. RNAcentral's name for it is "eukaryotic LSU rRNA". It matches the Rfam family "Eukaryotic large subunit ribosomal RNA", at positions 107 to 1373 of the family's 3401-position model. The record is from RNAcentral. Lineage: Eukaryota; Apicomplexa; Conoidasida; Eucoccidiorida; Eimeriidae.